This 1494-nucleotide long non-coding RNA is filed under the name Callithrix jacchus (white-tufted-ear marmoset). RNAcentral's name for it is "lncRNA (ENSCJAG00000075040.1)". The record is from RNAcentral. Lineage: Eukaryota; Metazoa; Chordata; Mammalia; Primates; Cebidae.
AUAGUUGUUAUGGCAGGAGGGCUAGUCUUGUAAGUCACCUCUCCAUUAGCAAAAGUGGAAACUUCAUCAUAAUUAUUUUAUUCUCUUUGUUUGUUACUCCCUUGUAGCCAUUUAAGUGUUUUCUCUGUUGCAUUUUCUUGCUUCAACAUGUGCCUUGGAGUUUUUGAUUGAAUGCCAGGCAUUUUGUGAAGUAGAACAACAAAGACAGGUAAACACAGUCUGAAUCCAAAUAAUAGUAUACCGUAUCAUAUCUUCAGUCAGAAAACAUUGAGGGGAGUGCUCUGAGUGAGUCUAAUCUUUAGAUGGCCUGGGUCAGGUUAUUCUUGCAGGUUUAAUUGAUUUUCUUUGCCUCUAAUUUCAAAUUUCUGAGGGCCAUCUUGGGAUUUUAGAUUUCAUUUAGAAAGUCUCGAGAUCAGAACUGUAGAAAUAUUCCAGAGUUCUCAUUAUCCUUUAAAAAUGAGCUGCCAGUUUUCUGAAUGCUGCGAGGUCUCACUCUACUUUGUAGACUAGCAUUAAGCUUUUUGGUUACUGAAGAAUUUUCUAUGUGAAUUCCCACCACGUCCCCUGCUUUCUGUGCUGCCAGAGAUAUCUCUUGUCUUUGCUGCUCCAUUCUAACUUUCAGAAGACAGCUGCAGUACACUUGUGAAAAAGAGACUUCUGUCAGCUUUCCUGCUGGCCUUUGGUGCAUUUCCUGUUUUGCAUUUCAUAUGGGAAUGAGUGUUUGUGUUGGUGUAGGCUCAGUCUGUGGUUACUGCUCUUUAGGAUUUGAAUCAAUUUUUCUAGUUCCAGAUACAUUUCAUAAAUGUAUAGAAGGUUGGAUUUUUCUUCAAUUUUCUGGCCUAUGGCUGGAGUACAGUGGUGUGAUCUCAGCUCACUCCAACCUCUGCCUCCCAGGUUCAUGCAGUUCUCCUGCCUCAGCCUCCUGAGUAGAUGGGGUUACAGGGGCCUGCCACCAUGCCAUGGUAAAUGCAAGGAACAUUUUAUUCAACCGAACCCUGGUAAGUGUUAUACUCUUGAUCACUCACUUUUUCAUUGGCACCUAUUUUCUUGUCCAUGCCUAAAGUGCCAGUAUCCCAAGGGCAUAAUUCUCAAUGCAUAAAUCCAUUCACUCUACACUUCCCAGGGAUCUAAUCCACUCUUGAUUUUAACUGCCACCUACAUGGUUAAUGUCAUUUAUAUCUUUAUUUAUAGCCAUAACUUGUCUUCUGAGCUUCAGGUACAUAUGUGCAUAUUGCUGGUAAACAUCUGUAAUUUUUGUAUUUUUAGUAGAGAUGGGGUUUUGCUAUGUUGGCCAGGUUGGUCUCAAACUCCUGACCUCAGGUGAUCUACACCCCCUCAGCCUCCCAAAGUGUUGGGAUUACAGGCCUGAGCCACCAUGCCCAGCCCAAUCUAUUUUUAUCAAAUGAGAGAGUGAGCAUAUCAUUGUCAGGAGUAUAUAAUCAGUAGUUUUAAGCAUCACCAAUUAAGGUCUGGUAGAAACAGAACUGAGUUCAC